Molecule: ribosomal RNA, 440 nt
Filed under: uncultured bacterium
Lineage: Bacteria
Description: partial 16S ribosomal RNA
Rfam family: Bacterial small subunit ribosomal RNA
Source: RNAcentral
CCUACGGGGGGCAGCAGUAGGGAAUAUUGCUCAAUGGGGGAAACCCUGAAGCAGCAACGCCGCGUGGAGGAUGAAGGUUUUCGGAUUGUAAACUCCUUUUGUUAGAGAAGAGAAUGACGGUAUCUAACGAAUAAGCACCGGCUAACUCCGGGCCAGCAGCCGCGGUAAUACGGAGGGGGCAAGCGUUACUCGGAAUCACUGGGCGUAAAGGGCGCGUAGGCGGGAUCGCAAGUCAGAUGUGAAAUCCUAUGGCUUAACCAUAGAACUGCAUUUGAAACUGUUAUUCUAGAGUAUGGGAGAGGUAGGUGGAAUUCUUGGUGUAGAGGUGAAAUCCGUAGAGAUCAAGAGGAAUACUCAUUGCGAAGGCGACCUGCUAGAACAUAACUGACGCUGAUGCGCGAAAGCGUGGGGAGCAAACAGGAUUAGAUACCCGGGUAGUC